This 433-nucleotide ribosomal RNA is filed under the name uncultured bacterium. RNAcentral describes it as "bacterial SSU rRNA". It matches the Rfam family "Bacterial small subunit ribosomal RNA", at positions 917 to 1350 of the family's 1533-position model. The record is from RNAcentral.
GGGCCCGCACAAGCGGUGGAGCAUGUGGUUUAAUUCGAAGCAACGCGAAGAACCUUACCAGGUCUUGACAUCCUCUGACAAUCCUAGAGAUAGGACGUUCCCCUUCGGGGACAGAGUGACAGGUGGUGCAUGGUUGUCGUCAGCUCGUGUCGUGAGAUGUUGGGUUAAGUCCCGCAACGAGCGCAACCCUUGAUCUUAGUUGCCAGCAUUCAGUUGGGCACUCUAAGGUGACUGCCGGUGACAAACCGGAGGAAGGUGGGGAUGACGUCAAAUCAUCAUGCCCCUUAUGACCUGGGCUACACACGUGCUACAAUGGAUGGUACAAAGAGUCGCAAACCCGCGAGGGCUAGCUAAUCUCAUAAAGCCAUUCUCAGUUCGGAUUGUAGGCUGCAACUCGCCUACAUGAAGCCGGAAUCGCUAGUAAUCGCGGAUC